RNAcentral lists this ribosomal RNA (427 nucleotides) under uncultured bacterium. RNAcentral describes it as "partial 16S ribosomal RNA". It matches the Rfam family "Bacterial small subunit ribosomal RNA", at positions 354 to 796 of the family's 1533-position model. The record is from RNAcentral.
GUGGGGAAUAUUGGGCAAUGGGGGAAACCCUGACCCAGCGACGCCGCGUGAGGGAAGACGGCCUUCGGGUUGUAAACCUCUUUUGUACGGGAAGAAGGAAGUGACGGUACUGUACGAAUAAGUCCCGGCUAACUACGUGCCAGCAGCCGCGGUAAUACGUAGGGGACGAGCGUUGUCCGGAAUUACUGGGCGUAAAGGGCGCGCAGGCUGUGCUGCAAGCUAGCUGUGAAAUGUCUGGGCUUAACCCGGGCAUGCGGUUGAGAACGCAGUGCUGGAGUGCUGUAAAGGCAGGUGGAAUUCCCAGUGUAUCGGUGAAAUGCGUAGAUAUUGGGAAGAACACCGGUGUCGAAGGCGACUUGCUGGGCAGCAACUGUCGCUGAGGCGCGAAAGCCAGGGGAGCAAACGGGAUUAGAUACCCCGGUAGUCC